UUUUUUAAUUAUAACUUGUGUUCCAUCAAUCUUUUUAAUGGUUUGCCAAGGAACUUCUAAGGAUGAUGCUACCUCUGUUCUCUGUUAUUUUUAUCUCCAGCAACAAACGAGUAUGUCCAAGUUGGCAUGUAAAAGUUUAAAAGAACGAUUAAAAUUUCGUGUCACCAUUUAAAUAUGUCAUAUUCCUACUUUCUUAGAUCUCAGGUGAUUAGCAGUCUUGAAUAAGGAGCAGACUGGUGUAGGAUGCUUGUUGAUGUUCUGAUCCCACUAUUUAAGAGCACAGUAAAAUCUGUCUUCUGCAUCUCACGUUGCCAGACUCGGUUCUUUUAUUUUUCUCUGAAUGUGCUGACACCAAAAUUCAAGA
Molecule: small RNA, 364 nt
Filed under: Vigna angularis var. angularis
Lineage: Eukaryota; Viridiplantae; Streptophyta; Magnoliopsida; Fabales; Fabaceae
Description: Non-protein coding transcript
Source: RNAcentral